GACCUGAGCGGAAAUCAAGACUCAGAUGCUUAACCUCAGACGCUUAACUGACUGUGUCACCCAGGAACCCAGAUUUAUUUUCCUCUUAAGACAAACUUGAAUAUCUAUUGGAGAAACAUAUACAGCAGAGGAAUCCUUUACAUUAAAGACAAAUUCUCAGAGAAGCACAAAGAAUGAUGAUGGGUCCUCUGAAGAAUGCAAUGGAGCAAAAGGAAGGAACUGUUUGUCCCCAACUGACUGUUUUCUGCAUGAUGUUGGAAGAGGAAGUGAGAGACUCAAGGCACAAGAAAAAUUAACUUCACUAUUGCUGGGUCAAAGAUGGAUGAAUUCAUGUGGCAAGAAAUUAGAGUAGGAUCGGAGAGCACCUCUAGGAUCUGAGAGCACCCCUAGCUGACAGCCAUCAAGGAAAUUGGGACUGUAGUCCAAUACUCACGAGGAACAAGAAUAAUCUUGGAAGCAGAUUUGCCCCAGAAUCUCCAAAGACCUCAAUCCAACCUACAUGGACACCUUGAUUCCAGCCUUGUGAACUCCUGAGGAGAGAACAUGAUCAUGCUGUGCUAGACUUCUGACCUACAGGCUUAUGAGCUAAUACAUGGGUAUAGCUUUCAGCCAUGAAGUUUGGGUGUAGAUGGUAACUAGAGAAAAUGCAUUACCAUGAUAACAGUUUUUAUAGUGCAUGGUGGGGUUGAAGGUUAUGAAUAUAUUCACACUAGCAUUUUGAUGUACUUUCUACAUUUCUAAAUGGAUUAUGGGUUACUUGCUAAUUAGAAAUAAAGCCCUUAGAAUUUAUUCAUGUAAAAUAUGUUAUAUUUCAGACUUUAAAAAAGUUAUAGUAAAUACUACAAUAGGCAAACAUGUAUAUAACCAAAGUUAUGAAGUAAAACAUUACAGAAAGUA
Molecule: long non-coding RNA, 897 nt
Organism: Herpailurus yagouaroundi (jaguarundi)
Lineage: Eukaryota; Metazoa; Chordata; Mammalia; Carnivora; Felidae
Exons: 3
Source: RefSeq, a predicted model, not a curated record